GGUCUAGCGGCGGACGGGUUAGUAACGSGUGGGAAUAUACCCUUCACUACGGAACGAGCCUCGGGAAACUGGGAGUAAUACCGUAUACGCCCUUUGGGGGAAAGAUUUAUCGGUGAAGGAUUAGCCCGCGUCUGAUUAGAUAGUUGGUGGGGUAAUGGCCUACCAAGUCUACGAUCAGUAGCUGGUUUGAGAGGAUGAUCAGCAACACUGGGACUGAGACACGGCCCAGACUCCUACGGGAGGCAGCAGUGGGGAAUCUUAGACAAUGGGCGCAAGCCUGAUCUAGCCAUGCCGCGUGAGUGACGAAGGCCUUAGGGUCGUAAAGCUCUUUCGCCAGAGAUGAUAAUGACAGUAUCUGGUAAAGAAACCCCGGCUAACUCCGUGCCAGCAGCCGCGGUAAUACGGAGGGGGUUAGCGUUGUUCGGAAUUACUGGGCGUAAAGCGCACGUAGGCGGAUUGGAAAGUAUGGGGUGAAAUCCCAGGGCUCAACCCUGGAACGGCCUUGUAAACUCCCAGUCUAGAGUUCGAGAGAGGUGAGUGGAAUUCCAAGUGUAGAGGUGAAAUUCGUAGAUAUUUGGAGGAACACCAGUGGCGAAGGCGGCUCACUGGCUCGAUACUGACGCUG
Molecule: ribosomal RNA, 625 nt
Filed under: Rhodobacteraceae bacterium N6
Lineage: Bacteria; Pseudomonadati; Pseudomonadota; Alphaproteobacteria; Rhodobacterales; Paracoccaceae
Description: bacterial SSU rRNA
Rfam family: Bacterial small subunit ribosomal RNA
Source: RNAcentral